GAAAAGUCAUAAGCCCUCGACCAUCCGUAACGAACUCUGAAACCAAACCAACGACCCGUUCCCUCUUCUGCAUCUCCGGUUGCACAGCCUCGGCCUGUGCCCCACGAAUGGCAUCCAAUACCGGAGCUAUCACGGUCAAUCUCAAACAUACAUCUCGCAGUGGAGUGCUCUCCGCCCUGCGGCUCAACGCAUCGGCUACCACAUUAGCCUUGCCUGGGUGGUACAGGAUCUCACAAUCAUAAUCCUUGACCACAUCCAACCACCUCCUCUGUCGCAUAUUUAGGUUGGGCUGAUCCAUCAAGUACUUCAAACUCUUAUGGUCCGUGUAUAUCGUACACCGAACCCCAUACAAGUAGUGACGCCAAAUCUUGAGGGCGAACACUACUGCCCCCAACUCUAGAUCAUGCGUGGGAUAUCUCGUCUCAUGAGGCUUCAGCUACCUCGAUGCAUAUGCUAUCACAUGACCCCUCUGCAUCAACACCGCACCCAGCCCCAAAAUCGAUGCAUCACAAUAUACUACAAAAUCCUCCAUCCCUUCCGGGAGAGCUAAUACCGCGGUUUCGCACAACCUUUGGCGAAGUGUCUGAAAGGAGGUUUGCUGCUCGAGACCCCAUGAGAAUGCAACACCUUUCCGGGUCAAUCUGGUGAGUGGCACUGCGAUCUUGGAGAAAUCCUUGAUAAAUCUCCGAUAAUACCCUGACAACCCAAGGAAACUCCUGAUCUCAGAUGGUGACUUCGGCACCUCCCAACUCAUCACCGCCUCAACCUUGGCCGGAUCGACCAGAAUCCCUUCCUGGUUAACAAGAUGUCCUAGGAACUGGACGUCCCGCAACCAGAAAUCACACUUGGAGAACUUUGCAUAAAGCUUCUCCGAUCUCAAAACCCCGAGGACCUCCCUCAAAUGCU
This 906-nucleotide long non-coding RNA is filed under the name Lactuca sativa (garden lettuce). RNAcentral's name for it is "long non-coding RNA (LSAT_LNC003848)". The record is from RNAcentral. Lineage: Eukaryota; Viridiplantae; Streptophyta; Magnoliopsida; Asterales; Asteraceae.